Anas platyrhynchos (mallard) is the source of this 658-nucleotide long non-coding RNA. RefSeq lists it as uncharacterized. The record is from RefSeq and is a predicted model, not a curated record. Lineage: Eukaryota; Metazoa; Chordata; Aves; Anseriformes; Anatidae.
UGGAGUCAGCUGCAUGCAUAACUGCACACAGGUAGCAGGACAUGUCCUCAGCCUCUCGUUUCAGCCAGGAGCCAGCCUGCAUUGUGGGAAGGCAUCCCAGCUUGGACAGUGAAUUUGGAGAACCACUACGAAGUUAAAAAUAGAUGGAAGAUUUUGGACUGGUAGCCACCUCUGAAGCAUUUCCUCCAUCAUACUGGUACAUAUGUACCACCUAACUGAGAACAUACUCAGUUCCAAAGCCAUGCUGAGGACCCAUGCUGAAUAUGUUCCUGAUUGCUGCAGCUUAUUAAACCUUGAGACACUGGAGGAGGAGGAGUCUGCGCAAUGGGAAAUUUCAGUCUUGAGGAAAACACAACUUUCUCAGAAUAAUUUGUGUGAAUAAUAAUUGGUUAGCAGUGGUAAUUCACCAAGGAGUUCAACAAUACCAAGAAAAUGUUUCUAACAUAAUUCAAGAAAGAAGAUGCAGAUAAGUUUUAUUUAAUUACAGUAAAAAUGUAUUAAGACUUGUCUGAAAAAUUUGUCUGUAUGCAUAAAAUAGUAUCCUUUUACAUACUGUGCUUAUAUCCAAUUAUUUAGGUAUCAUGUUCCUAUUCAUUAGGACUUUCACUACUUAAAAAAUACAUUAUCUCAGCUCUGUGAAAAUAAACUAACAAAUCUC